GACGAACGCUGGCGGCGUGCUUAACACAUGCAAGUCGAACGAAGAGCGAUGGAAGCUUGCUUCUAUCAAUCUUAGUGGCGAACGGGUGAGUAACGCGUAAUCAACCUGCCCUUCAGAGGGGGACAACAGUUGGAAACGACUGCUAAUACCGCAUACGAUCUAAUCUCGGCAUCGAGGAUAGAUGAAAGGUGGCCUCUACAUGUAAGCUAUCACUGAAGGAGGGGAUUGCGUCUGAUUAGCUAGUUGGAGGGGUAACGGCCCACCAAGGCGAUGAUCAGUAGCCGGUCUGAGAGGAUGAACGGCCACAUUGGGACUGAGACACGGCCCAGACUUCCUACGGGAGGCAGCAGUGGGGAAUCUUCCGCAAUGGACGAAAGUCUGACGGAGCAACGCCGCGUGAGUGAUGACCGGCUCCGGGUUGUAAAGCUCUGUUAAUCGGGACGAAAGGCCUUCUUGCGAAUAGUUAGAAGGAUUG
RNAcentral lists this ribosomal RNA (475 nucleotides) under Veillonella parvula. RNAcentral describes it as "bacterial SSU rRNA". It matches the Rfam family "Bacterial small subunit ribosomal RNA", at positions 28 to 471 of the family's 1533-position model. The record is from RNAcentral. Lineage: Bacteria; Bacillati; Bacillota; Negativicutes; Veillonellales; Veillonellaceae.